Molecule: long non-coding RNA, 326 nt
Organism: Amphimedon queenslandica
Lineage: Eukaryota; Metazoa; Porifera; Demospongiae; Haplosclerida; Niphatidae
Exons: 4
Source: RefSeq, a predicted model, not a curated record
AUGAGGGUGGGUGGAGUUCACACGCCCAUAAAUAAGGACGAAAGCGGUUUUAAAGAAACAAAUCCUCUUAUUUAUGAAGAAGUGCAACAGUGAACGACAUUUCGGAUGCAAUGAGGGUGGGUGGAGUUCACACGCCCAUAAAUAAGGACGAAAGCGGUUUUAAAGAAACAAAUCCUCUUAUUUAUGGAGAAGUGCAACAGUGAAUGACAUUUCGGAUACGAUGAGGGUGGGUGGAGUUCACAUGCCCAUAAAUAAGGACGAAAGCGGUUUUAAAGAAACAAAUCCUCUUAUUUAUGAAGAAGUGCAACAGUGAACGACAUUUCGGA